CAGCAGCCGCGGUAAUACCGGCGGCCCGAGUGGCGGUCACUAUUAUUGGGCUUAAAGCGUCCGUAGCCGGGUUGGGAAGUCCUCCGGGAAAUCUGGCCGCUUAACGGUCAGAAUGCCGGAGGAUACUCCCAGCCUAGGGAGCGGGAGAGGCCGAGGGGAUUCCCGGAGGAGGGGGGAAAUCCUAUAAUCCCGGGAGGACCACCUGUGGCGAAGGCGCUCGGCUGGAACGCGUCCGACGGUGAGGGACGAAGGCCAGGGGAGCAAACCGGAUUAGAUACCCGGGUAGUCCUGGCUGUAAACGAUGCGGACUUUGUGUCGGACAAGCUAUGAGCUUGUCCGGUGCCGGAGGGAAACCGUUAAGUCCGCCGCCUGGGGAGUACGGCCGCAAGGCUGAAACUUAAAGGAUUGGCGGG
RNAcentral lists this ribosomal RNA (413 nucleotides) under uncultured microorganism. RNAcentral's name for it is "bacterial SSU rRNA". It matches the Rfam family "Archaeal small subunit ribosomal RNA", at positions 459 to 872 of the family's 1478-position model. The record is from RNAcentral.